This is a long non-coding RNA of Onychostruthus taczanowskii (white-rumped snowfinch), 427 nucleotides long. RefSeq lists it as uncharacterized. The transcript has 3 exons. Lineage: Eukaryota; Metazoa; Chordata; Aves; Passeriformes; Passeridae. The record is from RefSeq and is a predicted model, not a curated record.
UCCCCUUUCCAGGAUGAUGAGAACAGCAGUGGGAGAUUUAUCCUUGAGGAGUGAAGGAUUCAGAGGGACCUAAAGCAGCCAUGCAGUACCUGUGAGGAGGUGUUGGAGAAGACAGCCAGACUCUGUGUGUGGUGAGAGGAAGAGAGACAACAGGUAUGAGGGAUGGAAAAGAAAACAAUGUCCAAAGGCAUCCACGACAAGGGGUGUGAAGUAAUUUUCUUCCAUGUCAUCGGGACCAUCCUUGCUGGUGGUGGAAGAUCCAACUCCUGGAAGCAGAGACUUCUGAGCAGCAGGGAGAAAACAGGCACCUGGCACCGAUGGAAAAGGGGGACCAGGUUAGAUGGAUGCAUCUCUACAACACAGCCCUUAUCUUUCAAGAGGCUUUCUUACUGUAUGGUUAAAUGGUAAAUUAAAAGCCUGAUCCAGA